GAUGAAGAACGUAGCGAAAUGCGAUACGUAAUGUGAAUUGCAGAAUUCAGUGAAUCAUCGAAUCUUUGAACGCACAUUGCGCCCGCCAGCAUUCUGGCGGGCAUGCCUGUUCGAGCGUCAUUUCAACCCUCGACUUCCCUUUGGGGAAAUCGGCGUUGGGGACCGGCUGUAUACCGCCGGCCCCGAAAUGAAGUGGCGGCCCGUCCGCGGCGACCUCUGCGUAGUAAUCCAACUCGCACCGGAACCCCGACGUGGCCACGCCGUAAAACCCCCGACUUCUGAACGUUGACCUCGGAUCAGGUAGGAAUACCCGCUGAACUUAAGCAUAUCAAUAAGCGGAGGA
Molecule: unclassified non-coding RNA, 343 nt
Filed under: soil metagenome
Description: partial contains 5.8S ribosomal RNA, internal transcribed spacer 2, and large subunit ribosomal RNA
Rfam family: 5.8S ribosomal RNA (bases 1-120)
Source: RNAcentral